RNAcentral lists this ribosomal RNA (436 nucleotides) under uncultured bacterium. Its description in RNAcentral is "bacterial SSU rRNA". It matches the Rfam family "Bacterial small subunit ribosomal RNA", at positions 367 to 793 of the family's 1533-position model. The record is from RNAcentral.
CACAAUGGGCGCAAGCCUGAUGCAGCCAUGCCGCGUGUAUGAAGAAGGCCUUCGGGUUGUAAAGUACUUUCAGCAGUGAGGAAGGCGGAGUCGUUAAUAGCGGCCUCGUUUUGACGUUAGCUGCAGAAGAAGCACCGGCUAACUCCGUGCCAGCAGCCGCGGGUAAUACGGAGGGUGCGAGCGUUAAUCGGAAUUACUGGGCGUAAAGCGCAUGCAGGUGGUUUGUUAAGUCAGAUGUGAAAAGCCCGGGGCUCAACCUCGGAAUUGCAUUUGAAACUGGCAGACUAGAGUACUGUAGAGGGGGUAGAAUUUCAGGUGUAGCGGUGAAAUGCGUAGAGAUCUGAAGGAAUACCGGUGGCGAAGGCGGCCCCCUGGACAGAUACUGACACUCAGAUGCGAAAGCGUGGGGAGCAAACAGGAUUAGAUACCCUGGUAG